RNAcentral lists this ribosomal RNA (1938 nucleotides) under human gut metagenome. RNAcentral describes it as "bacterial LSU rRNA". It matches the Rfam family "Bacterial large subunit ribosomal RNA", at positions 994 to 2925 of the family's 2925-position model. The record is from RNAcentral.
GGUGCUAACGUCCGGACUCGAAAGGGAAUCAACCAAGACCGCCAGCUAAGGUCCCUAAUAUCAGCUAAGUGGAAAACGAAGUGGAAAGGCUAAAACAGUCAGGAAGUUGGCUUAGAAGCAGCCAUCCUUCAAAGAAAGCGUAAUAGCUCACUGAUCGAGUCCUUCCGCGCGGAAGAUGUAACGGGGCUAAGUUGAUAACCGAAGCUGCGGAUUCAUACUUUGAGUAUGAGUGGUAGGGGAGCGUUCUGUAAGCCUGCGAAGGUGGAUCGUAAGGUCUGCUGGAGGUAUCAGAAGUGCGAAUGCUGACAUGAGUAACGAUAAAGCGGGUGAAAAGCCCGCUCGCCGCAAACCCAAGGUUUCCUGCUCUACGUUAAUCGGAGCAGGGUGAGUCGGUUCCUAAGGCCAGGCUGAGAAGCGUAGCUGAUGGAAAUCAGGUUAAUAUUCCUGAACCGGCGUUGAAUGCGAUGGGGUGACGGAGCAGCCAGAGUGGACCGGGUGUUGGAUGUCCCGGCUUCCGAGCGAUGGGUGCCUGCAGGCAAAUCCGCAGGCGUAUACCCAGGACGAAGGAUCGGGCCUUCUUUUGAAGGCGAAGCCACUGGAAGCGCUUCCAGGAAAAACCUCUAAGCUUCAGUUCAACGGCGACCGUACCGUAAACCGACACAGGUGGGUGAGCUGAAUAUGCUCAGGCGCUUGAGAGAACUCGGGAGAAGGAACUCGGCAAAUUGACACCGUAACUUCGGAAGAAGGUGUGCCUUUGUAGCUUGAUGGGAGAGAAACCCAAAGGGCGAAGAGGUCUCAGAGAAUCGGUGGCUGUAACUGUUUACUAAAAACACAGCGCUCUGCAAAGAUGAAAGUCGACGUAUAGGGCGUGAUGCCUGCCCGGUGCUGGAAGAUUAAUUGAUGGGGUGCAAGCUCCUGAUCGAAGUCCCAGUAAACGGCGGCCGUAACUAUAACGGUCCUAAGGUAGCGAAAUUCCUUGUCGGGUAAGUUCCGACCUGCACGAAUGGCAUAAUAAUGGCCACACUGUCUCCUCCCGAGACUCAGUGAAAUUGAAAUGUUUGUGAUGAUGCAAUCUCCCCGCGGCUAGACGGAAAGACCCCAUGAACCUUAACUGUAGCUUUGCAUUGGACUUUGAACCGAUCUGUGUAGGAUAGGCGGGAGGCUUUGAAGAAUGGACGCCAGUUCAUUCGGAGCCGUCGUUGAAAUACCGCCCUGAUUUGUUUGAGGUUCUAACCUGGGCCAGUGAUCCUGGCUGGGGACCGUGCAUGGUGGGCAGUUUGACUGGGGCGGUCUCCUCCUAAAGGGUAACGGAGGAGUGCGAAGGUACGCUAAUCACGGUCGGAAAUCGUGAGGAUACUGCAAUGGGAAAAGCGUGCCUGACUGCGAGACAGACAAGUCGAGCAGAUGCGAAAGCAGGUCAUAGUGAUCCGGUGGCUUCUGUAUGGAAGGGCCAUCGCUCAACGGAUAAAAGGUACUCUGGGGAUAACAGGCUGAUACCGCCCAAGAGUUCAUAUCGACGGCGGUGUUUGGCACCUCGAUGUCGGCUCAUCUCAUCCUGGGGCUGUAGUCGGUCCCAAGGGUAUGGCUGUUCGCCAUUUAAAGAGGUACGUGAGCUGGGUUUAAAACGUCGUGAGACAGUUUGGUCCCUAUCUACCGCGGGCGCUGGAAGAUUGACAGGGGCUGCUCCUAGUACGAGAGGACCGGAGUGGACGCACCUCUGGUGUAUCGGUUGUGACGCCAGUCGCAUUGCCGAGUAGCUAUGUGCGGAAGAGAUAACCGCUGAAAGCAUCUAAGCGGGAAACUUGCCUGAAGAUUAGUCUUCCCGGAGGCUUGACCUCCCUGAAGGGUCGUCCGAGACCAGGACGUUGAUAGGCCAGGUGUGGAAGCGCUGUGAGGCGUGAAGCUAACUGGUACUAAUUGCCCGUGCGGCUUGAUCCU